RNAcentral lists this microRNA (23 nucleotides) under Ascaris suum (pig roundworm). Its description in RNAcentral is "Asu-Mir-96-P2_5p (mature (guide))". Lineage: Eukaryota; Metazoa; Nematoda; Chromadorea; Rhabditida; Ascarididae. The record is from RNAcentral.
CUUGGCACUCGAGAAUUCACGCG